CUGCUACUGGAACCACUGCUCUUGGGACUGCUACUAGAACCACUGCUCUUGGGACUGCUACUGGAACCACUGCUCUUGGAAAUGUUACCAGAGUCACUGCUCUUGGGACUGCUACUGGAACCACUGCUCUUGGGACUGCUACUAGAACCACUGCUCUUGGGACUGCUACUGGAACCACUGCUCUUGGAAAUGUUACCAGAGUCACU
Non-coding RNA from Pelobates cultripes (western spadefoot toad), 206 nucleotides. Lineage: Eukaryota; Metazoa; Chordata; Amphibia; Anura; Pelobatidae. The record is from the annotation of a GenBank genome assembly.